Molecule: ribosomal RNA, 791 nt
Filed under: uncultured Sphingobacteriales bacterium
Lineage: Bacteria; Pseudomonadati; Bacteroidota; Sphingobacteriia; Sphingobacteriales
Description: bacterial SSU rRNA
Rfam family: Bacterial small subunit ribosomal RNA
Source: RNAcentral
GUCGUGGGGCAGCGCGGGUAGCAAUACCUGGCGGCGACCGGCAAACGGGUGCGGAACACGUACGCAACCUUCCUUUAAGCGGGGAAUAGCCCAGGGAAACUUGGAUUAAUACCCCAUAAGAUUAUGGUGUGGCAUCACACAGUAAUUAAAGCUCCGGCACUUAAAGAUGGGCGUGCGGCUGAUUAGGUAGUUGGCGGGGUAACGGCCCACCAAGCCUACGAUCAGUAACUGGUGUGAGAGCACGACCGGUCACACGGGCACUGAGACACGGGCCCGACUCCUACGGGAGGCAGCAGUAAGGAAUAUUGGUCAAUGGACGAAAGUCUGAACCAGCCAUGCCGCGUGGAGGAUGAAGGCCCUCUGGGUUGUAAACUUCUUUUAUUUGGGAAGAAACCCAUCUUUUCUAAGGUGGUUGACGGUACCAGAUGAAUAAGCACCGGCUAACUCCGUGCCAGCAGCCGCGGUAAUACGGAGGGUGCAAGCGUUAUCCGGAUUCACUGGGUUUAAAGGGUGCGUAGGUGGGCAGGUAAGUCAGUGGUGAAAUCUCUGGGCUUAACCCAGAAACUGCCGUUGAUACUAUCUGUCUUGAAUGUAGUGGAGGUGAGCGGAAUAUGUCAUGUAGCGGUGAAAUGCUUAGAUAUGACAUAGAACACCCAUUGCGAAGGCAGCUCGCUACACUAUUAUUGACACUGAGGCACGAAAGCGUGGGGAUCAAACAGGAUUAGAUACCCUGGUAGUCCACGCCCUAAACGAUGGAUACUCGACAUCGCGAUACACUGUUGGUGUCUGAG